UUUUUGUGUAUUGUAGAAAUUACUACCUCUGUAAUAAUUUUGUUUUAAUUAGUGUUCGAGCAAAGUAAGACCUUUGGGAAGGUCUACGGUGUUUGCAAGUUGAUUUUGCUGAAAAAUAGAAACUUCCGCUCUCAGUCCAGGAAUUUUGUAAAUUCACUCGAGCCUGAUUUUCAUCUAAAUUGUUUACACAAGAUUUAUAUACAAAUUUCCCUGAUGUUCUUAAUUUUUCAGAAUUUUUUGAGUUACAAAAGUAUUCGAAGUUUAUAGAUUUCUACAGAAUGUUCUAUGUUUGACAGAUUCUGUUUUUCUUUGUGUUGUUUGCUUAUUUUGAUGAAUCUAUGGGUUGUAUCGGGGGUAUGAACCAUGGAUAAGUUGUAAUACAGUAAAUAUUACACCAAUAUAAAUAAAGAAUGAGUUCACAAUAGUACCUAAAGUGGUGAUUUAUUUUUCUUAUACUAACGGAUCUCAUGAGUUUUCUAUUGAGUUUUGUGUUGUGAAGUUUUCAAGUUUUGGGUAAAGAUUUAAUGGACAAUGGAAUAAGGAGUGGACAGAGCCUAUACUCAAGGAUUCCCAAGGCACCCCAAGACAUAUUAAAGGAUACCAAAGAGACUAAGCUUGGGGAUGCCCCGAAAGGCAUCCCCUCUUUCGUCUUCAACCCAUCGAUAAAUUUAGUUGAGGCUAUAAUAUUAUUCACAACAUAACAUGCGUUUUGCUUGGAGCAUCUUGUAUGAUAUGAGUCUUUAAUUUAGUUUGCCACAAUCAUCCUUGCUGCACACAUCUUUUGAGAGAGACACUCUGAAUCGUGCUUCACUUAUAUCUUUUAGAGCACGGUGGUGUUUUAUUUUUUAGAAAUUAUUAAAUGCUCAUAAUUCACUCA
RNAcentral lists this long non-coding RNA (877 nucleotides) under Hordeum vulgare. RNAcentral describes it as "long non-coding RNA (HVUL_LNC003820)". Lineage: Eukaryota; Viridiplantae; Streptophyta; Magnoliopsida; Poales; Poaceae. The record is from RNAcentral.